Molecule: RNA transcript, 1664 nt
Organism: Pieris napi
Lineage: Eukaryota; Metazoa; Arthropoda; Insecta; Lepidoptera; Pieridae
Gene name: protein ANTAGONIST OF LIKE HETEROCHROMATIN PROTEIN 1-like
Exons: 2
Source: RefSeq, a predicted model, not a curated record
CUUGUCUGAAAUGACAAAAUAUAAUAAGUAAGUGGCAAAAGUACACACAGUUUCAGAUCAAGUUACCCAAAACCAGUACCAAUAAACGGAACUUGCUAGGGCCUCGCCGGGCGCCGAGUCGUCUACGAUAAUAAACAACGCAUGAGUCCUGUUUAUACUGGUUUUGGGAAGCUUGAUCUGUGGCCGUGUGUACAAAUCUGAUAUUAGUUGGAAAUUUAACUGCAUUCGAUUAAAGGCCCUCCUUAAUUCACACAUGUUGUCAACUUUACACUGUCUCAUGAAGCAUUAGAUAAAUCAAGCAAUAUAUAUAUACCUAUACAGAGUGGAAAAAUAAGGCCGCAGUUGAAGGAAAAGUACCCUUAGGCGCAACGCAAACGGCGGGCCGGCGCAGGCCGGUCAAUUUCGCCGCGAACGAUAGCGCAAAGUGAAUCUUAUACUAGACGCAGACGGCGCGGCCGGGGCGGCGCGGCGCAGACAUCGACGAAAUAAUUCAUUUUUUACAAAAAUAAUUAGAACUUCAUUUAAGGAUUUUUGGAAAAACACCGGAUUGAAUCGGGCAAUUUGUUUAUUUGUUACAGUAAAAUUUGCCAUCAUCAAAAUUAAGGUGAAAACUUCCGGAAGUCACUAGCGCUAUAUUUGGCAACUGGUAAUACAUUCACUGAUCUACACUAUUCCUAUGUGAUUGGAAUUGCAACAAUUAGCGAAAUAGUAAGACAAGUUUGUUACAUAAUAUGGAUUGAACUAAAGUCUGAAUGUAUUCCACAGCUUAAUGGGAUCAAAUGGAAAGAAAUCGCAGAGGGAUUUCUCACAUAUACAAAUUUUCCUAAUUGCUUGGGUGCAAUUGAUGGAAAACAUAUAAGAGUGAUUCGGCCGCCGCACAGUGGAUCACUAUAUUUUAAUUAUAAGAAAUAUUAUUCUGUAGUGCUCCUCGCAAUGUGUGAUGCUGAUUAUAAUUUUACAUAUAUUAAUGUCGGUACCAGUGGAAGCAACGCCGAUUCAACCAUCUUUAGAAGGAGUCAAUUGUAUACGAAACUGGAAAGUAACACGUUGGGUAUCCCUGACCCGCAAGAGUUGCCUAUUAUUUGCCCCGAAGUAGCUUAUCCAUCUAGUGUAAGAGCAAAGUUGCCGUUCGUGAUAGUGGGAGACGAGGCAUUUGGUUUAUCAUCACAUGUGAUGCGGCCUUAUGCUCGUGAUAAUUUACCUUACAAAAAGAAAAUAUUUAAUUACCGUCUGUCCAGAGCUAGAAGGUACAUAGAAUGCACUUUUGGAAUUAUGUCAAAUAAAUUUAGAAUAUUUCACAGAUCCAUGAAUGUCAAGUUAGAUCUAGCACAAUUAAUAGUCAAGACGGCAUGUGUACUUCACAAUUUCAUAAGGAAACGGGAUGGCUACAAGGUCAGCCAUACAUUUGUCACAAAUGGUUUUACGGGACCACUACCCAGGCAGCAGACUGAAAGUAGUAAUACGUCGGCAAGUAAUAUCAGAGAUAUAUUUGCAGAUUACUUUAUCAAUGAAGGAAAAGUCUCCUGGCAACACCGAUAUAUAAUUAAUUAACUAAACUCAAAAGGUUUUAGAAGGUUUUUGAUGUUAUUUGUGAAUUAAAUAAUUAUGCUUAUAUUAAUAAAGUAAUGAUGCUUGUAUAAAUAAAAUAAUGAACCAAACACAUA